GCUUUUCUGGAAUAUAUAGUGGACUACAUAUCAACUAAGGAUGCAUUUGAGAUUCUAGUUCUGAUUUCAGUACAAUUUGCAUUAUGUUGGUACCAUUAGUGGGUGUUUAUGGUGAAAAAACAGUAAUUUUUGUGAUUAUUUAGUGAAUUUGCAAGUAGUACAGCACUACACUGUGUAUUAUCUCAAACCCGGUUGUCGAGUUAAUGAACUAAUUAGCAGUGUUAUAACGGUAGAGACGGUCAGGUUAUUUUGCUCUGGGCGCGAACUGAGGAAGUGUAGCUCAACAUGGGGCCGUGUCUUUAAUAAGGCCUGACUAACUCAUUUAUUAAUUACUUGGUAAUUAAUGAGUGCACUGUCAGGACAGCAGUGUUGUUGAUUAACUUCAGUGGACUGAGUUUUCUCCUCGGUGAGGGACAUGGCAGUGUCUGAGACUCAGCUCAUGCUGAGCAUCGGAUUGAUCGAGAAGGACGUGAACGCAGACACGCUGUGGGUCUGGUGCUUCCCAGCAGUCAGCGCUGAGCUGCGUGAGGUCUUGAUGCGGAAGUGCUGUUUGUCCCGCGACUCUCUGGAGCUGCACACUUUCGUGUUUGGACAGUACCGCCGGAGCUGGUACUACCUCACCACCACCGAGGUCCAGGAGCCCACCGCCCUCAGCAAGGUUACACAUUUCUCUAUAGUUAUUACAGCAAAGGAUUUCAACCCUGAAAAGUAUGCUGCAUUAAGCAGAGUUCUGUGUAGGAUGUACAUGAAGCAUGGCAGUCCAGUGAAGAUGAUGGAGGGCUACAUUGCUGUCCUAACAAAGGGCAUCUGUCAAAGCGAUGAGAACGGCUCCUUCCUCAUCAAGGACUACGAUGUUAGGAAAGCCUAUUUGGCUGGAUCCAUCAAAGACGUGGUGUCUCAGUUUGGAAUGGAGACCAUCAUCCUGUACACAGCACUGAUGCUGAAGAAAAGGAUUGUGAUCUACCAUCCUCGUGUCGAGGCUCUGCUAGAGUUCACAAGAGCACUUCCAGCCCUGACAUGGCACAGGAAAGACUGGUCCAUUCUCCACCCUUAUGUCCAUCUGGAGGACAGGGAGUUGGACAACCUCAGAUCAUGCACAGGAUAUGUGGCAGGCUUUGUAGAUCCUGAGGUUAUCAACAGAUCAGAUCUCUUCGAUGUUUUCGUGAAUCUUCCAGACAAUGAGAUCACCAUAGGUCAACAUGCAAAAGAGGCCAUGGUUAUGGGAAAACUGCAUAAAGAGAUCGGCCACUUGAUCGUCCAGUCUGCAGAGGACACUGAUCGCACAGAUGCUCAAGUUAUCAAGGAUAUCUCAGUAAAGACCAAGGAGAUCCUUAGUAACUUGGUGUCCCUUGCUGAGGAAGGGGAUGACGCAAAGCUGACGCUGGACACACUGAAACGACGUCACCUUCCUCCAGCAACCGAGAACUUCCUCUUCCACUUAGCUGCUGCUGAGCAGCUCCUGAAGAUCUAAAUAAUCCAAGUCCCCCAUGAUCCUAUGAGACCAAGGAGAGCCUAACGAAGGAAAUCACUGUGAUCACUUAUAAAUGUAUCUAAAUGCAAAGAUAAAUUUACAAAGAUUUAUAGAGAUUUUAUGAUGUGCUAGACGCAUUCAGUGACCAAGACUAUUGUGUAUGCUACUCUGUUUUCCAGGCAAGUUCUUCUUAGGAAGCACUUAAAAUUACUUGACAAAUAUACAGUAUAACACAGGAAAUUGAGAAGAGACAGUCAACUGCCUUACCUACCUGACAGAGGAACAGGCAGCACUGACCUAUAGAAGGCCUGAGCUGAACUACUGCUGACUGCCAGACGCUGGAUUAUAAUUUGAGGAAGGGCCUAAAAAUUAAAAAAUACGAUAUGCAUCAGAGGAUAUACUAUAUAGUCUGUGCAUCUCAGGUUUCUGGGACUUUUAAACAGGUUAUUUUGUAAAAUGUCUACAAUUAUUGAAUAAAGAACAUCUCACCCCUGCAAA
Molecule: RNA transcript, 1969 nt
Organism: Neoarius graeffei (lesser salmon catfish)
Lineage: Eukaryota; Metazoa; Chordata; Actinopteri; Siluriformes; Ariidae
Gene: dennd10
Gene name: DENN domain containing 10
Exons: 10
Source: RefSeq, a predicted model, not a curated record